CACUUCAUUUGAAUCUUCUUCUUUGUCUCUCUCUUCUUCUAUACAUAAUUUGGUGAAAUAAUAAUAAAAAAAAAAAAACUACUUCCUCAUUUGCAACUAUAUAUGAAUUCUCUCCUUUAUAUAUAGCAAUUUCAUUCACUAAUAAGACACUAACCAUGGUUCUAAUGCCCCUAAUGUUUGGUUCACUAGUGAAGCUAGCAAAGGCACUAGUGUGUGAACCUACUACCACUCUCACAACCAUUCUCUAUUAUGGCAAUUUGCUUCCUAGAAAUCUUAACUUGGAGAGAUUAGUACGAAGUGAAUUUCUUCACCAAGAAAACUAUUUCUUUCAUUUUCUCAUUACCAUAUUGAGGUGUGUUUGGUAAUUAGAAAGACACAAUGCAUCAAAUUAUGUGAAAAUUUAAGUUUUUGUGUAUGUGUCAGAUUAAAAUCGAAAGAAAUAUGUAUCUUUAAUAUUCAACAAUGUCAGACACAUGAUUACUUUUAGUGAAUGAAACACGUGAGAAACCAAAAAAAAAAAUAUUAUGUACUUUUUGAGGUACUCCAUGGUGUAGCAAAGUGAUAGUGUUUGAAAGUUGUAAUAUAUAUGUAGAUGUUUUGAUGAUAGUUUCCAAAGACACAUUUGUUUUUGUUCCUACCCA
This is a non-coding RNA of Cicer arietinum (chickpea), 641 nucleotides long. The record is from RefSeq and is a predicted model, not a curated record. NCBI's taxonomy places the organism in Eukaryota, Viridiplantae, Streptophyta, Magnoliopsida, Fabales, Fabaceae.